AUUGAACGCUGGCGGCAGGCCUAACACAUGCAAGUCGAACGAGUGGCGGACGGGUGAGUAAUGUCUGGGAAACUGCCCGAUGGAGGGGGAUAACUACUGGAAACGGUAGCUAAUACCGCAUACCAUCGGAUGUGCCCAGAUGGGAUUAGCUAGUAGGUGGGGUAACGGCUCACUUAGGCGACGAUCCCUAGCUGGUCUGAGAGGAUGACCGGCCACCCGGGAACUGAGACACGGUCCAGACUCCUACGGGAGUCAGCAGUGGGGAAUAUUGCACAAUGGGAGCAAGCCUGAUGCAGCCAUGCCGCGUGUAUGAAGAGGGCCUUCGGGUUGUAAAGUACUUUCAGCGAGGAGGCGUUACUCGCAGAAGAAGCGCCGGCUAACUCCGUGCCAGCCGCCGCGGUAAUAC
This 406-nucleotide ribosomal RNA is filed under the name uncultured bacterium. RNAcentral describes it as "partial 16S ribosomal RNA". It matches the Rfam family "Bacterial small subunit ribosomal RNA", at positions 30 to 526 of the family's 1533-position model. The record is from RNAcentral.